Molecule: ribosomal RNA, 458 nt
Filed under: uncultured bacterium
Lineage: Bacteria
Description: partial 16S ribosomal RNA
Rfam family: Bacterial small subunit ribosomal RNA
Source: RNAcentral
CCUACGGGCGGCAGCAGUGAGGAAUAUUGGUCAAUGGCCGAGAGGCUGAACAACCAAGUCGCGUGAGGGAAGACGGCCCUACGGGUUGUAAACCUCUUUUGUCGGGGAGCAAAGCGAGUCACGUGUGACUCCUUGAGAGUACCCGAACAAAAAACAUCUGCUCACUCCGUGCCAGCAGCCGCGGUAAUACGGAGGAUGCGAGCGUUAUCCGGAUUUAUUGGGUUGAAAGGGUGCGCAGGCGGAGGUGCAAGUCAGCGGUAAAAUAGCGGGGCUCAACCCCGUACUGCCGUUGACACUGCAUCCCUUGAGUGCGCGAGAAGUAUGCGGAAUGCGUGGUGUAGCGGUGAAAUGCAUAGAUAUCACGCAGAACUCCGAUUGCGAAGGCAGCAUACCGGCGCGCAACUGACGCUCAUGCACGAAAGCGUGGGUAUCGAACAGGAUUAGAUACCCUUGUAGUC